This 483-nucleotide ribosomal RNA is filed under the name uncultured bacterium. RNAcentral describes it as "bacterial SSU rRNA". It matches the Rfam family "Bacterial small subunit ribosomal RNA", at positions 30 to 507 of the family's 1533-position model. The record is from RNAcentral.
AUUGAACGCUGGCGGAAUGCUUUACACAUGCAAGUCGAACGGUAGAGGGGGCAACCCCUUGAGAGUGGCGAACGGGUGAGUAAUAUAUCGGAACGUGCCUAUUUGUGGGGGAUAACGUAGCGAAAGUUACGCUAAUACCGCAUACGCCCUGAGGGGGAAAGCGGGGGAUUCGUAAGAACCUCGCGCAAUUAGAGCGGCCGAUGUCGGAUUAGCUAGUUGGUGGGGUAAAGGCUCACCAAGGCGACGAUCCGUAGCGGGUCUGAGAGGAUGAUCCGCCACACUGGAACUGAGACACGGUCCAGACUCCUACGGGAGGCAGCAGUGGGGAAUUUUGGACAAUGGACGCAAGUCUGAUCCAGCCAUUCCGCGUGCAGGAUGAAGGCCCUCGGGUUGUAAACUGCUUUUGUACGGAACGAAAAGGUCUCUCUUAAUACGGGGGGGCUCAUGACGGUACCGUAAGAAUAAGCACCGGCUAACUACGUG